This 253-nucleotide ribosomal RNA is filed under the name uncultured bacterium. Its description in RNAcentral is "partial 16S ribosomal RNA". It matches the Rfam family "Bacterial small subunit ribosomal RNA", at positions 524 to 776 of the family's 1533-position model. The record is from RNAcentral.
UACGUAGGGUGCGAGCGUUGUCCGGAUUUAUUGGGCGUAAAGAGCGUGUAGGCGGCCAGGUAGGUCCGUUGUGAAAACUCGAGGCUCAACCUCGAGACGUCGGCGGAAACCAUCUGGCUAGAGUCCGGAAGAGGAGAGUGGAAUUCCUGGUGUAGCGGUGAAAUGCGCAGAUAUCAGGAAGAACACCCGUGGCGAAGGCGGCUCUCUGGGACGGUACUGACGCUGAGACGCGAAAGCGUGGGGAGCAAACAGG